AGGGAAUAUUGGACAAUGGGCGCAAGCCUGAUCCAGCCAUGCCGCGUGAGUGAAGAAGGCCCUCGGGUUGUAAAGCUCUUUUGUCCGGAAAGAAAAGCAUCGGGUUAAUACCCCGGUGUUCUGACGGUGCCGGAAGAAUAAGCACCGGCUAACUUCGUGCCAGCAGCCGCGGUAAUACGAAGGGUGCAAGCGUUACUCGGAAUUACUGGGUGUAAAGCGUGCGUAGGUGGUUCGUUAAGUCUGAUGUGAAAGCCCUGGGCUCAACCUGGGAAUGGCAUUGGAAACUGGCGGACUGGAGUGCGGUAGAGGGUAGCGGAAUUCCCGGUGUAGCAGUGAAAUGCGUAGAGAUCGGGAGGAACAUCCGUGGCGAAGGCGGCUACCUGGACCAGCACUGACACUGAGGCACGAAAGCGUGGGGAGCAAACA
Molecule: ribosomal RNA, 426 nt
Filed under: uncultured bacterium
Lineage: Bacteria
Description: bacterial SSU rRNA
Rfam family: Bacterial small subunit ribosomal RNA
Source: RNAcentral